GACGAACGCUGGCGGCGCGCUUAACACAUGCAAGUCGAGCGAUGAAAUCUUGACAGAACCCUUCGGGGCGAAGAUAAGAUGGAUUAGCGGCGGACGGGUGAGUAACACGUGAGUAACCUGCCUUAGACAUUGGGAUAGCCUCGGGAAACCGGGAUUAAUACCAAAUGAAAUCACAUAUGCACAUGCAUAAAUGAUCAAAGCUCCGGCGGUCUAAGAUGGACUCGCGUCCCAUUAGCUAGUUGGUGAGGUAACGGCCCACCAAGGCGACGAUGGGUAGCCGGCCUGAGAGGGUGAACGGCCACAUUGGAACUGAGAAACGGUCCAAACUCCUACGGGAGGCAGCAGUGGGGAAUAUUGCACAAUGGAGGGAACUCUGAUGCAGCGACGCCGCGUGAACGAAGAAGGCUUUCGAGUCGUAAAGUUCUUUUAUGUGGGAAGAUAAUGACGGUACCAUAAGAAAAAGCCCCGGCUAACUACGUGCCAGCAGCCGCGGUAAUACGUAGGGGGCUAGCGUUGUCCGGAAUCACUGGGCGUAAAGGGUUCGCAGGCGGAAAUGCAAGUCAGGUGUAAAAGGCAGUAGCUUAACUACUGUAAGCAUUUGAAACUGCAUAUCUUGAGAAGAGUAGAGGUAAGUGGAAUUUUUAGUGUAGCGGUGAAAUGCGUAGAUAUUAAAAAGAAUACCGGUGGCGAAGGCGACUUACUGGGCUCAUUCUGACGCUGAGGAACGAAAGCGUGGGUAGCAAACAGGAUUAGAUACCCUGGUAGUCCACGCUGUAAACGAUGAGUGCUAGGUAUCGGAAAAAUUCGGUGCCGCAGUUAACACAUUAAGCACUCCGCCUGGGGAGUACGUGCGCAAGCAUG
This 861-nucleotide ribosomal RNA is filed under the name uncultured Clostridia bacterium. Its description in RNAcentral is "bacterial SSU rRNA". It matches the Rfam family "Bacterial small subunit ribosomal RNA", at positions 28 to 896 of the family's 1533-position model. The record is from RNAcentral. Lineage: Bacteria; Bacillati; Bacillota; Clostridia.